UACGUAGGGCGCAAGCGUUGUCCGGAAUUAUUGGGCGUAAAGAGCUCGUAGGCGGUUUGUCGCGUCUGCUGUGAAAACCUAAGGCUCAACCUUGGGCUUGCAGUGGGUACGGGCAGACUAGAGUGCGGUAGGGGUGACUGGAAUUCCUGGUGUAGCAGUGGAAUGCGCAGAUAUCAGGAGGAACACCAAUGGCGAAGGCAGAUCUCUGGGCCGUAACUGACGCUGAGGAGCGAAAGCGUGGGGAGCGAACAGG
RNAcentral lists this ribosomal RNA (253 nucleotides) under uncultured bacterium. Its description in RNAcentral is "partial 16S ribosomal RNA". It matches the Rfam family "Bacterial small subunit ribosomal RNA", at positions 524 to 776 of the family's 1533-position model. The record is from RNAcentral.